This 300-nucleotide ribosomal RNA is filed under the name uncultured Desulfurococcus sp. Its description in RNAcentral is "bacterial SSU rRNA". It matches the Rfam family "Bacterial small subunit ribosomal RNA", at positions 496 to 795 of the family's 1533-position model. Lineage: Archaea; Thermoproteati; Thermoproteota; Thermoprotei; Desulfurococcales; Desulfurococcaceae. The record is from RNAcentral.
GUAAACGGGGGGCGAGUGGCGGGGUGAGUACAGAGGGCCCAAGGGUUGUUCGGAGUCACGGGGCGGAAAGGGUGCGUAGGCGGUCGGGUAAGUCUGAUGUGAAAUCCCGGAGCUCAACGGCGGCACUGCAUUGGAUACUAUCCGGCGCGAGGAGUGGAGGGGAGACUGGAAUUCUCGGUGUAGCAGUGAAAUGCGUAGAUAUCGAGAGGAACACCUGUGGCGAAGGCGAGUCUCUGGACACUUCCUGACGCUGAGGCACGAAAGCCAGGGGAGCAAACGGGAUUAGAUACCCUAGUAGUC